RNAcentral lists this non-coding RNA (867 nucleotides) under Gardinerosergia inequalis. Lineage: Eukaryota; Metazoa; Arthropoda; Malacostraca; Decapoda; Sergestidae. The record is from RNAcentral.
UCAAAGUUUUAUCCUGACUUAAAUUCUCAGUUUUAAAUUAAGGUACAUGUAAACGUUAGUGUGACUAUAGCAAAGAAAAUAAUCUUAAAGAUAAUAGCUUUAAUACAUUUAUAAAAUAUUAAUUAUAAAUAAAGCCUCAGUACCUAAUACUAAAAAAUAAAUGAAAGUUUGAGUUGGUUAUUUUAAUUAAAAGAUAAUAACCGGUCAAAAUUUGUGCCAGCAGCCGCGGUUAGACUGAGGGUUAAAUUGAGAACUUAUUAGUUAAAAGUAAUUAAGCGUACUUUAUAUUACAAUAAUAAAUAAUCUGCGUUAAUAAAAGGUGAAAUUAGGUUUUUAACUAGCAAAUUAUUUACUUUAUAAGGUAAUAAAUGCUGAAGUUAUUAAAAUAAAGAUAUAAACUAGGAUUAGAUACCCUAUUAUACUUUACUUAAAAUAGUAUUACUAGGGUAGUAAACAGCUAUAAUCUUGAAACUCAAAGGAUUUGGCGGUAGCUUAGUCUGCUUAGAGGAACCUGUCCUAUAAACGACAAACCACGAAUUAUCUUACCUUAUUUUGUAAAAUAUCAGUAUGUAUACCGUCAUUAUCAGAUAACUUUACCAAAAUUUUAGUUAUUGAAAUAAAAUUUUUUUUUAGAAUAUUAGAUCAAGGUGCAGCUAAUAAUAAGGUAGAGAUGGGUUACAAUAAACAAAAUUAAAACGGAUAAGAAUUAUAAAAUAUUCUUUAAAGGAGGAUUUAAAUGUAAAAGUAUUUUAAUAAGUUACUUUGACUUUAGCUCUAAGCUAUGCACACAUCGCCCGUCGCUCUCGUUAAUUAAAGCGAGAUAAGUCGUAACAUAGUAGGUGUACUGGAAAGUGUACCUAGCUGGCA